CAAUAGCGUAUAUUAAAGUUGUUGCGGUAAAAAAGCUCGUAGUUGGAUUUCUACCGAAGAUAGCCGGUCGGGUCUUCGACCUUGUAUCUGGUUUUGUCUUUGGUAUCCUCAUAGGGAACGUUUCUGCGCUUUAUUGCGUGUGGCGGUAUCUAUGACUUUUACUUUGAGGAAAUUAGAGUGUUCACGGCAGGCAAACGCCUUGAAUAUAUUAGCAUGGAAUAAUAACAUAGGAUCUUCGUCCUAUUUUGUUGGUUUCUAGGGCUAAGAUAAUGAUUAAUAGGGAUAAUUGGGGGCAUCUGUAUCAACGCGUCAGAGGUGGAAUUCUUGGAUUGCGUUGCGACAAACUACUGCGAAAGCAUUUGCCAAGGAUGUUUUCAUUGA
RNAcentral lists this ribosomal RNA (381 nucleotides) under uncultured eukaryote. Its description in RNAcentral is "partial 18S ribosomal RNA". It matches the Rfam family "Eukaryotic small subunit ribosomal RNA", at positions 592 to 976 of the family's 1831-position model. The record is from RNAcentral.